GGAAAUUCGACCAAUUUAAUGUCGCAUUUGAAAAACAAGCAUAAUGAUGCAUACAUUAAGUGUUCAAAAAAGAAUCCAACCAAAUGCGAGGAACAGCUCGAAAGCAAACCUGAUGACCAGCUCACCAUUGAAAAAUCGUUUAUGUCUGUGCAGGAAUCUUAUAAAGAAAACGGUUAUAAG
Drosophila obscura is the source of this 180-nucleotide long non-coding RNA. RefSeq lists it as uncharacterized. Lineage: Eukaryota; Metazoa; Arthropoda; Insecta; Diptera; Drosophilidae. The record is from RefSeq and is a predicted model, not a curated record. The transcript has 3 exons.